This 429-nucleotide ribosomal RNA is filed under the name uncultured bacterium. Its description in RNAcentral is "bacterial SSU rRNA". It matches the Rfam family "Bacterial small subunit ribosomal RNA", at positions 355 to 775 of the family's 1533-position model. The record is from RNAcentral.
UGGGGAAUAUUGCGCAAUGGGGGAAACCCUGACGCAGCGACGCCGUGUGAGGGAAGAAGGCUUUCGGGUCGUAAACCUCUGUCAGAAAGGAAGAACCUCCCAAGUCCGAAUAGGGCUUGGGACUGACGGUACUUUCAAAGGAAGCACCGGCUAACUCCGUGCCAGCAGCCGCGGUAAUACGGAGGGUGCAAGCGUUAAUCGGAAUCACUGGGCGUAAAGCGCGCGUAGGCCGCUUUGUAAGUCGGACGUGAAAGCCCUCGGCUCAACCGGGGAACUGCGUUCGAUACUGCGAGGCUUGAGUCCUGGAGAGGGUGGCGGAAUUCCGGGUGUAGGAGUGAAAUCCGUAGAUAUCCGGAGGAACACCGGUGGCGAAGGCGGCCACCUGGACAGGUACUGACGCUGAGGCGCGAAAGCUAGGGUAGCAAACGG